RNAcentral lists this long non-coding RNA (652 nucleotides) under Sorghum bicolor (sorghum). Its description in RNAcentral is "long non-coding RNA (SBIC_LNC001543)". Lineage: Eukaryota; Viridiplantae; Streptophyta; Magnoliopsida; Poales; Poaceae. The record is from RNAcentral.
UCCCAUCGAAUUUGUGAAGAGCUUAAUUUCACAUUUUUAAUAAUACAGAUAAAGAUGGUUGAAAGGAAACCUACAAAUUCAUAAAAUCAUAGGUAUACCAAAUUGUUAUUACAACGGGUACGGUGUAAUAACUAAUAACAAUCAGAAGUUACAACAAGAUCGAUGAAACGGGAACGAACAAACUAAACUACUUGUGGCUGCCUGUCGAAUCUUCAUCAGUCAUCAUUGAGUAGUAAGCAGCUUCCUCCCAAUCCUGCUGUGGGUGAAUGCAUGGCCGAUGCCGGGGCUGUGGCUUGGGUUGGUAGGCCGAACGUCCUCUGUCGCUCCGGGAACACCACCUUCUGCGGGAGUGAUUGUGCCCUCCAUCAUCCCUGCUUUUGUGGCCGAAGCAGUGCUAGCUGACGACUGCACUGCUAGCAGGUAUCUUCUAGGAGUACUUGCUAGUAUCAUAGUAGGAGUGCAAUGAGCUGACAUGACUUGACAGGUUAGAACUAGGACUACUACCAUUACAGCAACUGUGCUCAUAUUAUUGUAUGAUUUUUGGAUGGCCAUUGCUAGCUCGAAGGGGAAAGCUCUAGUAGUGAUGAAACUAGCUGAAGGAAGAUGGGUUACUUCAAGUUACCUUGCCUCUAGCUUAGCUUGGUCGAUGGCU